UUGGAGGGCAAGUCUGGUGCCAGCAGCCGCGGUAAUUCCAGCUCCAAUAGCGUAUAUUAAAGUUGUUGCAGUUAAAAAGCUCGUAGUUGAAUUUCGGGAUUGACGUGACGGUCGUGCCUUAGGGGGUAUGAACUGUCGCAGUUGAUUUCUCACCUUCUGGAGAAGCAUGAUGUCCUUAAUUGGGUGUCAUGUGGAACCAGGACCUUUACCUUGAAAAAAUUAGAGUGUUUAAAGCAGGCAUUUUGCUCGAAUACAUUAGCAUGGAAUAAUAGAAUAGGACGGCAUGGUUCUAUUUUGUUGGUUUCUAGGAUCACCGUAAUGAUUAAUAGGGAUAGUUGGGGGCAUUAGUAUUCAAUUGUCAGAGGUGAAAUUCUUGGAUUUAUUGAAGACUAACUACUGCGAAAGCAUUUGCCAAGGAUGUUUUCAUUAAUCAAGAACGAAAGUUAGGGGAUCGAAGACGAUCAGAUACCGUCGUAGUCUUAACCAUAAACUAUGCCGACUAGGAAUCAGACGAUGUUAAUUUUUUAAUGACUCGUUCGGCGCCUUACGGGAAA
This 554-nucleotide ribosomal RNA is filed under the name uncultured Glomeromycotina. Its description in RNAcentral is "SSU rRNA". It matches the Rfam family "Eukaryotic small subunit ribosomal RNA", at positions 548 to 1097 of the family's 1831-position model. Lineage: Eukaryota; Fungi; Glomeromycota. The record is from RNAcentral.